UACACCGGCCAAAUAUAUUAUUAUAACACUUAUGUAACUCUUACAUAACGCUUUCCGGUGUAUAACCCGCCCGGCAACGGCCAUUAUUUUCUUUACUCUAUUUUCUUCGCUCCACUAGACAACAUGCCUGAGUAAGAAAAUCAUAAAAUCACCGAGUGCGUCUCCGAGACGGCACUCAAUGGCACUUACAAAAAUGCGUCGAAAUUAUCCGGGUUAUACGACCAUGGAUUUGGAUACAAUUCAGGAAUGUGAUUCCAGUCCCAUUGAGAGUAUUAGAAACGUUGCUAAUGAAAUUUUUCUAACCUUAGAAGAGAAAAACUACUUCUACUAUAAUGUGCCAGAACCAGCAGAAACAUAAACAACCCAGCCAAAAGUCUAAAAUGAAAACCAUAUAAUUUCCCUCCAUGGAACACAACAUUCAAUGUUAACCUUACUCUUACAGAAUUCAAAAAAGAAAACACAAUACCUUCCAUAUAUAAAAGCAUGCUCAAAAACCUAUUACAGGAGCAUCUAAACAGCGUGUACAUAAUAUAUACUAACGCCUCCAAAAUUAACGAAGGAGUCGGCCUCGCAAUAACAAUAAAAAUCAAACAAUAUUGUACAAACGUUCACCUCAAGCCUCAAUACUUACAGCAGAAGCGAUGGCAGUAUACAUAACAGUAAAAUAUAUCCACACAAAAUACGCAAACCACCAAACAAAAUGUAUAAUACUCAGUGACUCACUCUUUAACCUAAUCGCCAUAACAAAUACACAUAACCAACCAGAUAUCAUAAAGCUCAUCCUAGAAGAAAGUUUCCUUGCAGAAAAAUAAAAUAAACAUAUCCAUUUUGUAUGAAUUCCGGAACACAUAAGCAUUCCCAAAAAUAAAAUGGUUGAUCGAGAAGCUCAAAAUGCAAUAGUCUCUACAUCAACUGCAACCAUAAAUUCUAUUACAGUCACAGACGCAAAGAACGAAAUUAAUCUACACUAAAAUAAUAAAUGGCACUCUCACUGGUGUAAACUUAACAUAAAACUCAAUAAAAUAAAAAAUAAUAUAAACACGUGGAAAAAUCCCAAACUCAAAAGAAAAUAAUAAACCGACUCUGAAUUGGACACAUACACCUAACGCACAGCUACUUAAUGAGCAAAGACAAACCUCCACUAUGUGACUCGUGGAGCGUUCAUUUAACCAUCAACCACAUCAUCACCGAAGGUAACAAAUACAACUAGUAUCGAAACCAAUUACACAUAUCCAAACAAAUCUGUCAAGCACUUGGACCAAACACACAGGACGAAAAAAACUUAAUGUUAUUCUUAAAAAAAAAAACAGAAUUGUAUAAUUUGAUUUAAUAUUAAAAAAAAGAAAUGUAAAUACUAACAAAGUAACUUUACAAAAAUUCUUAUAUUAAUGGCAUAGUUGUCGAUGUAUCUUAGACCAAUAAAAAAAAAAAAAGAAUUAUAAUUCUGAACCAAGUAA
Long non-coding RNA from Aphis gossypii (cotton aphid), 1457 nucleotides. RefSeq lists it as uncharacterized. NCBI's taxonomy places the organism in Eukaryota, Metazoa, Arthropoda, Insecta, Hemiptera, Aphididae. The transcript has 4 exons. The record is from RefSeq and is a predicted model, not a curated record.